This is a long non-coding RNA of Daktulosphaira vitifoliae (grape phylloxera), 1822 nucleotides long. RefSeq lists it as uncharacterized. The transcript has 6 exons. The record is from RefSeq and is a predicted model, not a curated record. NCBI's taxonomy places the organism in Eukaryota, Metazoa, Arthropoda, Insecta, Hemiptera, Phylloxeridae.
AUUGACAACAUUAAACGUAACUUAUUCUAUAUAGUAGUUGUGUUCUUAGCAAGAUAUCGUUAAAGUAAACACAAUUGAUCGUCUUCAUCUAAGGCGUUCUCAGUUAAGACAAUAGACCAAUAAUUGGACUAUACAGAAAAUAAUUUAUCGUAAAUUCAGCACAUAUAACGUGCAUACAUCUUGCUAUGUUCGCUAAUUGAACACAGACGACUAGUGUUAAUUCGUCUGUUUUUUUGUUGUGUUGUUUUGUUUUUUGACGUUUGCAAAUUAUCUGUGUAGAACGGGAAAGAUAAAUUCGAUUCUCGUUAGUAAUUACCGAAGGUGACGAUCUAAUGAAGAAGAUGUGCACGGCAUACAAUAUUUUUCACGCCAUUGAUACAGUUUAUUGUUUUCAGAUUCAUAUUCAUCCUGCCCAUGAGACUUCAAAUCAAAAAUAUUACAAAUCCAGGACUUUUCCAGUCAUUAGAUGUUGACACAUCUUGAUCUUGUAGUGGUCUAUAUCAUUAACAUGUUAAAAUUUAUUCAUUAUAGACCAAAUUGUUAGUUUGUUCCGGCACCCCACAGAGAUGUAUUUAGAGUUUUGACGCCUCAGGAUGAACAAUGCUGUUUAAAUCGACACCGUUGGUGAUCUUAUGCUUAAGUUUUUUCCGUGAUAAAUUAGUACGCAUAUAUAUUUAAAACUCUUUAAAUUUUACAUUUUUCUCUAAGUAUAACUUAAAUAUUUCAAGUUUUGAGUGCAUACACUCAUAAAAAAAAAAAAAAUGGAUUCGGAUUUGUUAUUUGUGAUAACGAUAUUGGUCAUAUAUUUCAUAAUUCCGAUUCAAGUAAUCAAAGAUAUUAUGUUAAUUGCACUGGCAGUUGUGACGCUGCAGACUUUUUUGGAAAUGGAACUUUGUAAGAAGAAACAAACUUAAACUUUUUUGUCCUCAUGAUAUUAAAAAACAUUUAUGGGAUAAGAGGUACUUAUUGUUCUCUAAAUUCGACGAAGGAAUCAUGAUGGACAAUGAAUAAUUUUAUUCCGUUUAUCCCGAGAUCUUAAGCACACGUAUAGCGUUGAGAUGCCCUGGUCUAGAAGUCGCUAUGGAUCCAUUUUGUGGUGCUGGUGGAAACGUCAUUCAAUUGGCCAAGAGAUACCCACGAGUAAUCGCUGCUGAUAUCGAUGGUAAAAAAUUAGAAUUCGCCAAAAGAAACGCAGAGAUUUAUGGAGUCAGGGACAAAAUUACAUUUAUACAGGGAGAUGUCUUCGAUAUUGCAGUAACGUUAAGCAAUUAUAAGCCACAGGUCAUAGUGACGUCUCCCCCAUGGGGCGGCCCUUCGUAUAAGAAACACGAAGCUUACAGUCUCGAGAAAAAUAUGUGUAACGACUACGAAGGAGGCGGUAGAAAAGUUUUCUUCCGCCUCAGAAGUAUUGCUCCCAACGUAGAACUGCACAUACCUAAAACUACAAGUCGAAAUGAGUUGAUUCAAUUUGGAAAAUUAUUCGACCUCAACAUGGAAGUCCAAUACAAUUAUAUCGACGAAAGACACGAUUCUAUUACUGCGUUUUUCGGUCGAUUUUUCAACAUGAACACGAAAUACUUAUCUAACGACAACAAACUUUACACGAACAGAAAACAUCUUAAGUAUCCAAAAUCUGUUGAUUACUAUUAUUGCUAAAUUAUAAUUCAGUCAAUUUUACUAAUUAUUCACAUUAUAAAGACAAAUGUUCACAUAUCCUAUUUUUUAAUAUUUUACCGUUAUAAACAUACUUAUUUAGAUAUAUAACCGACUUUUGAAAUUAUAUAAAUACUUUACAAUUCUUUUAUUUUUGCUACAGCUAGCU